This 551-nucleotide long non-coding RNA is filed under the name Mytilus galloprovincialis (Mediterranean mussel). The record is from RNAcentral. Lineage: Eukaryota; Metazoa; Mollusca; Bivalvia; Mytilida; Mytilidae.
UUCGGAAAUUUGAGUUCGGUUCUACGUAAUGAACAUUGAAAUGACAUUUAGUUUACAAGUGUGAACAAAUCUUAUGUACAGGUAACUAAACAAGGUGUAUAGAUGUGGACAAAUCUUAUGUGAAACUAGUGUAGAUUACAUUAAACCAAAUGUAAACAUGUUUACUGUACAAGGCAUUUGGUGUGAACACGGCCUUAGUUAGGUCUAGUUUAACCCGAAUAAUCCAGUCGUUAUAUUACGAUCACUUCGAUCACACCCUCGAGAAAAGUAGUAGAUAGAGGGCACUGAAUAAUUCGAGUUGGGUCUAGUUGAGUUUCGAAUGUUUGUGAAUGAACUAAUGAAAAUCGACGUCAUACUAAACUCCAAAAAUUAAACACAUAAAUGAACUAUACAAAUCCUUGAAUUAACUAAAAUUAAAAACAACCCACAAGAAUAAAAAAGACAGACAAGGAGCUCCCGACUUGGGACAGGCGUAAAAAUGCGGCAGGGUGAAACAUGUUUUGUGAGCCGUGAAUUCAACCCUCUCGCUAUACAUAAUUGUACCUCUGGCA